UCCCUCUUAGCUCAGUGGUAGAGCGCGUCACUAGUAUAAAUACAACAUGACGAGGUCAGUCGUUCAAGUCGGCUAGAGGGAA
Non-coding RNA from Termitomyces sp. 'cryptogamus', 82 nucleotides. The record is from the annotation of a GenBank genome assembly. NCBI's taxonomy places the organism in Eukaryota, Fungi, Basidiomycota, Agaricomycetes, Agaricales, Lyophyllaceae.